This 129-nucleotide ribosomal RNA is filed under the name Hemiselmis rufescens. RNAcentral's name for it is "partial 5.8S ribosomal RNA". It matches the Rfam family "5.8S ribosomal RNA", at positions 7 to 133 of the family's 154-position model. Rfam says of the family: 5.8S ribosomal RNA (5.8S rRNA) is a component of the large subunit of the eukaryotic ribosome. Lineage: Eukaryota; Cryptophyceae; Cryptomonadales; Hemiselmidaceae. The record is from RNAcentral.
CCCAACGGUGGAUAUCUUGGCUCUCGCAUCGAUGACGAACGCAGCAAACCGCGAUAGGUAGUGUGACAUGCGGAUACCGUGAAUCAUUAACUUUUCGAACGCAACCGGCGCGUCUUUUUUUUUAUAAUA